Long non-coding RNA from Tigriopus californicus, 886 nucleotides. RefSeq lists it as uncharacterized. The transcript is spliced from 2 exons. NCBI's taxonomy places the organism in Eukaryota, Metazoa, Arthropoda, Copepoda, Harpacticoida, Harpacticidae. The record is from RefSeq and is a predicted model, not a curated record.
CGUCAUACCGCUUGACCAAUCACCAUUGACUUCGUUUUGAACUAACCUGUAUAUAUAAGAACCUUGUGAUUUCCAAAUCGAUGACGUCAUAUCGCUCGACCAAUCACUAUUGACUUUUGAACUUCUGAGUUUUGAACUAACCUGUAUAUAUAAGAACCUUGCUCUUAGUAAUAUUAGAGCAAGUACUCAUCAUAUCAGCUAUUGAUAAGAAAAAAGGACAUCUUAUGUACGAUAAGAGAAAUGAGUCACGGAUCCUUUAUCUCCAAAUCCCAACAUAUCAAGAAUCACGAAACAAUCAUUUUCCAAGUGCUAUCAAAUUCCACCAUGCCUUGCUUGGGCAUGGACAAGAGGGGUCGUACGGUAUAUCCGAAGACGUUUUUGGAGCCCAAAGGCAGUGGUAUUCCAGGCGCUGCUUCUAAGUCCACCAUAUCAGACGUUCACAGAAACAGGAGCGGACAUGCGGUACAUCCAAGGAAAUAUUCGGCCCUCAAUGGCAGGAAAGGAUCAAACCGUCCAAAUGCAUCCUUCAAUCGACUCUAUCUUUCGAUGUGUAGUGCCAACCUAAAGUUCAACCAACCUGCUCCCCAUAAGCCAAAAACAGCAUCCUUGAUUGUUAAUGUUCCCAGACGCCUUCCGUUCCCUAUAGCCAAAAUACAAAGAAAGUGAAGAUAUCUGGGGAGGAGAUGUGGUAUAGUGGUUAGCGUAGUUUCCUUAUACGAGAAAGGACCCUCCUCCCUGAUCUUUCUCAAGGAAACUUUUGGACGCUAACCCUACCCACAGACGGAGAACCAAACUGAUACGGACACGACACUGCCUAUCGGAAAAUUAUGUUUGUAUGUAUGUAUGUAUUCGGGCUCGUUGAAUAAAAAGGUAAAAGAAAAUGAAA